RNAcentral lists this long non-coding RNA (654 nucleotides) under Phascolarctos cinereus (koala). Its description in RNAcentral is "lncRNA (ENSPCIG00000033343.1)". The record is from RNAcentral. Lineage: Eukaryota; Metazoa; Chordata; Mammalia; Diprotodontia; Phascolarctidae.
GAAAUCUGUUCUAUAUUUUUUCCAGAACUGAUGAAAAUAAUUCAAGAAAACUGGGCAGGUUUCGGGGGGGGGGGUGCGGACAACACAGUAUUGUUCAAUAUAGUUUUAAAGCUAGGAAGAAAGGAAAUGCUAUUAAAUCCUUGUAUGAACCAUCCAGAGCAAAAGCCUGAGAAAACAGAUGGGUCUCCCUUAGUGACCUGCAGAUCAACAGCCUCCCUGCCUGGCAGCUGGACCAGAAGGAGUUCAGGACUCAGGGCUCUGCAUCAGAAACAUGCUGCGUCCAUCCCCUGGAGUUCAAAGUGAGACACUGUCCCCUACAUGCCCUUCUUUGAUCGACUGUUGAGAAGACUGUUUGGGAAUGCGACCAGGAUUGCUGUCCCAGUGGAUUAAGGCAAUCCUGGAGCCAAAGCAGUAGGAUUAGGAAAGGUUUUGAGGUGGUGGGGGUGGACAAAAAAUUUAAAAGGCAUAUUUAUUUGCACUAGAGAAAUGAAUGGGUUUUUAAGGCAGAACCUAUCCUCCAAAAAAACUUUUAUAAGAAAUAUGGAGGUUGAAAUUUAAAUUUUGAAUUCAUUUCAAUGAACUAAAACUAGGUAAGUUGAUGUGGUGGUGACUGAUGAGAAAUGGUACAAUAAAAAUUUAGCCUACCAGUGACCA